AAUAUUGCACAAUGGGGGAAACCCUGAUGCAGCGACUCCGCGUGAGCGUAGAAGGCCUUCGGGUCGUAAAGCUCUGUCCCAAGGUACGAAACGGACGUUACCUUAGGAGGAAGCCCCGGCUAACUUUUUUCCAGCAGCCGCGGUAAUAGGUAGGGGGCGAGCGUUAUCCGGAAUUAUUGGGCGUAAAGGGUGCGUAGGCGGCUUUUUAAGUCAGAUGUGAAAGGCUACGGCUUAACCGUAGUUAGCAUUUGAAACUAAAAGGCUUGAGUGCAGGAGAGGAGAGUGGAAUUCCUAGUGUAGCGGUGAAAUGCGUAGAUAUUAGGAGGAACACCAGUGGCGAAGGCGACUCUCUGGACUGCAACUGACGCUGAGGCACGAAAGCGUGGGGAGCGAACA
This 396-nucleotide ribosomal RNA is filed under the name uncultured bacterium. Its description in RNAcentral is "partial 16S ribosomal RNA". It matches the Rfam family "Bacterial small subunit ribosomal RNA", at positions 360 to 774 of the family's 1533-position model. The record is from RNAcentral.